GGUUCAGUACAGGUGCUGUGGGUAACCUCAGCUACUGGCUGUACAGCAGGCUCUAAGGCGGGUGGGGCUGUCAUCUGCUUCACUGUUGGUCUGGCAUGCUGGGGAUGGCAUGGCUACACAGCAGGCUCACUAAGGGCGCUGAGCUGGGACCUGGCUGACUGUUGGACAAGGUAAAGGUUCAGCGAGCUCUCCGAAGAGGAGGAAGAACUGGAGACCUAGUACAUCAGACAAAUUUGAGGAGUCUCAUGGAGAAGGUGCACAGAGAAUGUGAAUGGUGGAUCGUCCGUCCCACACUGAGAAGGAAGUGCUCUGCUUGCAGAUCUUCCUGGGUGCUCAGACAUCAGACUCCAUUUGUGGGAAUACGGUGCAUUGUGGGAGGGGCGAAGGGUGCCGACCCAGGAGGAACGCAGAGCAGCAUGGGCCCUGCAGCCUGUGUAUGGCACAGCCAGACCUACAGGCUGGCGGAUGGCUCAGUGACUGCAUGCUAACUAAGCUGGAUGCAUGUGUGAAAACGUGUGCCAGGAAAAACAGUGGGCGAACUUCACAGUCAAUCGCAGGAGGACACUCGCAAAGCAGAGAGUAGAGCUGUGAGCUCAGGCUGGACCACCUGCUGCAGCUCAGCGCAGCCUACGUGGACCUGGCAAAGACUGAGUCUGAGCGAGGGAGAUUAGGUGAACACGGAGCCCCAAGGUGGUCACCAUGGAGAGCACCAGCGCCAACUGGAGUCACUUAUGUCAAAACGGAACAGCAGAGCCGAGAGGCCACGAAGGGAGGUCUUCAGGCCCUAUCUGCCCUGUGAUGGGAGCUGUGGCCAGACAUCCUCGAAACCACAACCACACACGAGGUACCUCAGCAGGGACAUCUACCCAAGCCGCUGGGAUUACUCUUCCCAAUAGCAUCAAGGUUGCUACUUACCUUUCAGUCAAGGAUUAGUGCAUCAAAGCAUCUACUGUCCUUUCCCUUGGUUUACCCUUGAAUAUCUCUUUCCCCUUACUUUCCUGAGUAUACUUAAAACCACCACUCCCCCACCCCCACUCACUCUGACAUAUACCCUGAAGGUGCAAAUUUCCUUGCUCAAUCUUGAAUAAAACAGUUUUUUCUUUA
Long non-coding RNA from Apodemus sylvaticus (European woodmouse), 1104 nucleotides. RefSeq lists it as uncharacterized. NCBI's taxonomy places the organism in Eukaryota, Metazoa, Chordata, Mammalia, Rodentia, Muridae. The record is from RefSeq and is a predicted model, not a curated record. The transcript has 2 exons.